GACGAACGCUGGCGGCGUGCUUAACACAUGCAAGUCGAACGGUGAACUCCGCUUGCGGGGGGAUCAGUGGCGAACGGGUGAGUAACACGUGGGCAACCUGCCCUCAGCUCUGGGAUAACCCCAAGAAAUUGGGGCUAAUACUGGAUACGACCGCUGAUCGCAUGGUCUGGUGGUGGAAAGAUUUAUCGGCUGGGGAUGGGCCCGCGGCCUAUCAGCUUGUUGGUGGGGUAGUGGCCUACCAAGGCGACGACGGGUAGCCGGCCUGAGAGGGUGACCGGCCACACUGGGACUGAGACACGGCCCAGACUCCUACGGGAGGCAGCAGUGGGGAAUAUUGCGCAAUGGGCGAAAGCCUGACGCAGCGACGCCGCGUGGGGGAUGACGGCCUUCGGGUUGUAAACCUCUUUCAGCAGGGACGAAGCGAAAGUGACGGCACCUGCAGAAGAAGCACCGGCCAACUACGUGCCAGCAGCCGCGGUAAUACGUAGGGUGCAAGCGUUGUCCGGAAUUAUUGGGCGUAAAGAGCUCGUAGGCGGUUUGUUGCGUCGGCUGUGAAAACCUGAGGC
Molecule: ribosomal RNA, 566 nt
Filed under: uncultured soil bacterium
Lineage: Bacteria
Description: bacterial SSU rRNA
Rfam family: Bacterial small subunit ribosomal RNA
Source: RNAcentral